UGCAGAGGGUGCGAGCGUUGUUCGGAAUUACUGGGCGUAAAGCGUGCGCAGGCGGUUGUGCAAGACAGAUGUGAAAUCCCCGGGCUCAACCUGGGAAUUGCAUUUGUGACUGCACGGCUAGAGUGUGUCAGAGGGGGGUAGAAUUCCACGUGUAGCAGUGAAAUGCGUAGAGAUGUGGAGGAAUACCGAUGGCGAAGGCAGCCCCCUGGGAUAACACUGACGCUCAUGCACGAAAGCGUGGGGAGCAAACAGG
This 253-nucleotide ribosomal RNA is filed under the name uncultured bacterium. RNAcentral describes it as "partial 16S ribosomal RNA". It matches the Rfam family "Bacterial small subunit ribosomal RNA", at positions 524 to 776 of the family's 1533-position model. The record is from RNAcentral.